GUCAGCAGCCAUAUCACCCUGCAACUCACAACUGGCCCACUGAAGCUAAGCAGGUGUGAGCCUGGUCAGUACCUGGAUGGGAGAGCUCCUGGGAAAAACUAAGGAUGCUGCUGGAA
Ribosomal RNA from Lepisosteus oculatus (spotted gar), 116 nucleotides. Lineage: Eukaryota; Metazoa; Chordata; Actinopteri; Semionotiformes; Lepisosteidae. The record is from Rfam.